GCCCAUCAGAAGGGGAUAACACUUGGAAACAGGUGCUAAUACCGUAUAACAAUCGAAACCGCAUGGUUUCGUUUUGAAAGGCGCUUUACGGUGCCGCUGAUGGAUGGACCCGCGGUGCAUUAGCUAGUUGGUGAGGUAACGGCUCACCAAGGCCACGAUGCAUAGCCGACCUGAGAGGGUGAUCGGCCACAUUGGGACUGAGACACGGCCCAAACUCCUACGGGAGGCAGCAGUAGGGAAUCUUCGGCAAUGGACGAAAGUCUGACCGAGCAACGCCGCGUGAGUGAAGAAGGUUUUCGGAUCGUAAAACUCUGUUGUUAGAGAAGAACAAGGGUGAGAGUAACUGUUCACCCCUUGACGGU
This 362-nucleotide ribosomal RNA is filed under the name Enterococcus mundtii. RNAcentral's name for it is "bacterial SSU rRNA". It matches the Rfam family "Bacterial small subunit ribosomal RNA", at positions 128 to 476 of the family's 1533-position model. Lineage: Bacteria; Bacillati; Bacillota; Bacilli; Lactobacillales; Enterococcaceae. The record is from RNAcentral.